This 625-nucleotide ribosomal RNA is filed under the name Pseudomonas putida. RNAcentral describes it as "bacterial SSU rRNA". It matches the Rfam family "Bacterial small subunit ribosomal RNA", at positions 56 to 677 of the family's 1533-position model. The record is from RNAcentral. Lineage: Bacteria; Pseudomonadati; Pseudomonadota; Gammaproteobacteria; Pseudomonadales; Pseudomonadaceae.
UGCAGUCGAGCGGAUGACGGGAGCUUGCUCCUUGAUUCAGCGGCGGACGGGUGAGUAAUGCCUAGGAAUCUGCCUGGUAGUGGGGGACAACGUUUCGAAAGGAACGCUAAUACCGCAUACGUCCUACGGGAGAAAGCAGGGGACCUUCGGGCCUUGCGCUAUCAGAUGAGCCUAGGUCGGAUUAGCUAGUUGGUGAGGUAAUGGCUCACCAAGGCGACGAUCCGUAACUGGUCUGAGAGGAUGAUCAGUCACACUGGAACUGAGACACGGUCCAGACUCCUACGGGAGGCAGCAGUGGGGAAUAUUGGACAAUGGGCGAAAGCCUGAUCCAGCCAUGCCGCGUGUGUGAAGAAGGUCUUCGGAUUGUAAAGCACUUUAAGUUGGGAGGAAGGGCAGUAAGUUAAUACCUUGCUGUUUUGACGUUACCGACAGAAUAAGCACCGGCUAACUCUGUGCCAGCAGCCGCGGUAAUACAGAGGGUGCAAGCGUUAAUCGGAAUUACUGGGCGUAAAGCGCGCGUAGGUGGUUUGUUAAGUUGGAUGUGAAAGCCCCGGGCUCAACCUGGGAACUGCAUCCAAAACUGGCAAGCUAGAGUACGGUAGAGGGUGGUGGAAUUUCCUGUGUA